AUGGCGCGGUUCAACGGAGCCACUGUUUUCCUCAUCAUCAUCGCCACCGUGUCCGUCUACAGCUGCGCCAUCAUCGCCGGCGCCGCACUCGGCCGAACACUGGACAGCUCCGCGACGACUAAGCAGACGCCGUCGGACAGGACCCUCCGCGUCAGCGUCAGCUUCAGAGGCCUCGCCAAGGACUUCGCAAAGGAGCUCUGGGGUGGUAAUCACAGGGAAGGACGGUCAGGCAGAGCUCUCGCCGGUGCGGGUGACGGAACUGCGGUACUGUCAUCAUCCCCCGCGAGCGUCUCGCUCUCACCACGAGCCAACAGGGCGGCCGCGGCGGAUCGCGAGUCAGCGCUGCAGCCCAUGCCAGUUGCCAACUACACGCAAGUGAACAGCAGGGUCAGGGAUGACGUCCACACAAGAGCAGCAGCGAGACCGUGGUCGAGGCACAGCAACUUCUCCGACGAGAUCACUGACGAGAAAAGGCCGGGAGGAAGAGGAGUGAUCAAGGUCGGGCCGUGGGGAGGAUCCGGCGGGGCACCUUUCUACAUGCGCGGCGGCCGCGGCGUGAGCGCCCCUCGCGUGCGCAGUGUCACCCUGCAGUACACCGACAACGCCAUCCAUUCCUUCUACCAAAGCUCAGACGAGCCCGUGGUGAAGCUGACGCUGGAACGAGCAGAAGGCGGUGGCCAAAGUAGAGCUCGUUUAACGGCUCUAGACUUAAUGCGGUCCCUCGCUGUUACUGAGGAAUCACCUCCGAACUAUGCCCAGCCCGAAUCAGGGGCUGGGAGCAGGGAAUUUUACGUCCCACCCGCCACCCACUUCAUAGCCACUGUCGAUGACUUAAUCGACAUGCCGGAUUACACCUCUGAAGACAUCGAUGGCGUGGACGACGAUGCCAGAGACGAACAAGGCCAAGACCCGCCGUUUACUGGACGCUGCACGGCCACCUCCACAUACAACGUGUAUAUGGUGGAUACACCCAAAGAAGAUGACGGCGAAGGCAGAAAGGAUUCGGUUGAGGAGAAACCUGUUGAGGCUCCACCAAAGCGUCGACGCUAG
Molecule: ribosomal RNA, 1050 nt
Filed under: Triticum aestivum (bread wheat)
Lineage: Eukaryota; Viridiplantae; Streptophyta; Magnoliopsida; Poales; Poaceae
Description: partial small subunit ribosomal RNA
Source: RNAcentral